This 608-nucleotide unclassified non-coding RNA is filed under the name Octopus sinensis (East Asian common octopus). Its description in RNAcentral is "uncharacterized LOC118762572, transcript variant X1". The record is from RNAcentral. Lineage: Eukaryota; Metazoa; Mollusca; Cephalopoda; Octopoda; Octopodidae.
UUCCGUUGCUUGGCUAAUAGCUGUGUUACACUCAGGACCACCAAAUGUCGCAAGAGACUCAGUAACAACUCGCAAAUAAUCUGGAAGAAAUGAUGAUAAAAAACCACAAUGGCAUAUAGAAGAUGUCAUCAGAAAAAGGUAUUUAAAAUUCAUUAGAAUGACAGAUAUAUUGAACUUUCAAAGAGGUCAAAUUGUUGGUGCUUGUAUCGUAGGUGCUAGCAUAACGAAAACAACCGAAAUGUGUGGUGUAUCAAGAAGUACUGUCUCGAAAGUAAUAACAGCUUUUGAGAAAGAGGAAAAGAUCUCCUCAUUGAAACAAAACUCCGGAAGAAAACCAAAACUUUCAGAUAUGGACCGUCAGACUCUCAUGCGAAUUGUUACAAAGGAUCACAAAAGUACAGCUCCCAAGCUUAAUGACCAUCUUGAGAACCCAGUUUCCACAAAAGCUGUUCGCUGGGUGCUGCACAAAGCUAGAUUUCAUGGGUGGGCUGCAAUCAGAAAACCACUCCUUGCAAAAACAAACAUUGCAAAGUGUUUAGAGUGGAGUAAAAACCUAUAGAAUUGGUCCCUAGAGAAGUGGAAGAAUGUUAUUUUCUCGGACAAGUCAU